Molecule: ribosomal RNA, 153 nt
Filed under: Sphenodon punctatus (tuatara)
Lineage: Eukaryota; Metazoa; Chordata; Lepidosauria; Sphenodontia; Sphenodontidae
Description: 5.8S ribosomal RNA (ENSSPUG00000019188.1)
Rfam family: 5.8S ribosomal RNA
About the family: 5.8S ribosomal RNA (5.8S rRNA) is a component of the large subunit of the eukaryotic ribosome. It is transcribed by RNA polymerase I as part of the 45S precursor that also contains 18S and 28S rRNA. Functionally, it is thought that 5.8S rRNA may be involved in ribosome translocation.
Source: Rfam by way of RNAcentral
AACUUUUAGAGGUGGAUCACUCGGCUUGUGCAUUGAUGAAGAACAUAGCUAACUGCGAGAAUUAAUGUGAAUUGCAGGACACAUUGAUCAUUGACACGUUGAAUGCACUUGCGACCCCAGGUUCCUCCCAGGUCUACGCCUGUCUGAGUGUUG